Molecule: ribosomal RNA, 90 nt
Filed under: uncultured bacterium
Lineage: Bacteria
Description: partial 16S ribosomal RNA
Source: RNAcentral
AAAGUGAAUUGUACUAGAAGUCUGCAGGCUAACCGGCUUUCGAAAGAGAGCUGGGGGCAGCGGCCCAAGGUAUGAUCCAUGAUUGGGGUG